Molecule: ribosomal RNA, 878 nt
Filed under: uncultured Bacteroidota bacterium
Lineage: Bacteria; Pseudomonadati; Bacteroidota
Description: bacterial SSU rRNA
Rfam family: Bacterial small subunit ribosomal RNA
Source: RNAcentral
CAAGUCGAACGAGAUUGUUGUAGCAAUAUGACAUGAAAGUGGCGCACGGGUGCGUAACACGUAUGCAAUCUACCUCUGAUUGGGGAAUAGCCUCGAGAAAUCGGGAUUAAUGCCCCAUAACAUAAUUGAGUGGCAUCACUUAAUUAUCAAACUUCCGGGGAUCAGAGAUGAGCAUGCGCAACAUUAGCUAGUUGGUGAGGUAAUGGCUCACCAAGGCUACGAUGUUUAGGGGGUCUGAGAGGAUGAUCCCCCACACUGGUACUGAGACACGGACCAGACUCCUACGGGAGGCAGCAGUAGGGAAUAUUGGUCAAUGGAGGAAACUCUGAACCAGCCAUGCCGCGUGCAGGAUGACGGCCCUCUGGGUUGUAAACUGCUUUUAUACAGGAAGAAAAAAUACUACGUGUAGUAUACUGACGUUACAGUAAGAAUAAGGAUCGGCUAACUCCGUGCCAGCAGCCGCGGUAAUACGGAGGAUCCAAGCGUUGUCCGGAUUUAUUGGGUUUAAAGGGUGCGUAGGCGGAUCUUUAAGUCAGUGGUGAAAUCCUGCAGCUUAACUGUAGAACAGCCAUUGAAACUGAGGAUCUUGAAUUUGGUUAAAGUAGGCGGAAUGUAUCAUGUAGCGGUGAAAUGCUUAGAUAUGAUACAGAACACCGAUAGCGAAGGCAGCUUGCUGAACCAAUAUUGACGCUGAGGCACGAAAGCGUGGGGAGCGAACAGGAUUAGAUACCCUGGUAGUCCACGCCCUAAACGUUGAUUACUCGUUGUUGGCGAUAUACUGUCAGCGACCAAGCUAAAGCGUUAAGUAAUCCACCUGGGAAGUACGACCGCAAGGUUGAAACUCAAAGGAAUUGACGGGGGCCCGCACAAGCGGAGGA